ACAGCAUGAAACAUCUAACCUUGUUUUACAAAAUGAUGUCUCUUGCAGGCUGAGAUUUACUUGGGCCGAUUUACUUGGUGCUGGGUGCUGAAACCUUCCCGGAGGCACAGAGACAAAAACACAGCUGAUGUGAGAGCAGCAGGGGCUCACUCCACAACUGUCCUGAAAUGCAGCCCCUCGUGCUGAGUGUUGUACAGAACAUGGACACAGAUGCUGCUGCUUCGUCCUUGGAGCCUUGGGGAAGCACUGGAGUGAGUGGCAGCCGAGGCAUUUCACACCUCAGUGAGCACAUCCUCCCCAGGGCCAGGGAACAUCUUGAACAAUGGAUGGAUCAGGAAGAUGAUGAAUAGCCUGAAAUGCUGAUGAAGAACAUUCUCUUCUCAUUGACUCAAACUCAAGAAGAUAGAUGUUAAUAUUAUUUUAAAGCCACCUUCAUUGGAUUCUACCUUCUCUAUGCAAUCCACUUAUAUGAUCUCAUUGUCAGGUUAACUGAACACUUUACAGAUUUAAAGGCAUUUAUUCUCCCAAGAGCCCCAUGAAGGAGGAAAAUACAGUUGUCCCAUUAUAUGGGUUUGGAGCUGUGGCACAGAGGUGCAGCGUCACACACGGUGAGGCAGGGAAUUAAACACAGCUUUCCUAAAUCCCAGGCUGUCACCCUAACUACUGUUCCUGCACAUUUUACAGCAAAAUGAGUGGUUAAACUUGAGUCCCUGCUCUGGGUUUCCUCCUACCUACAUUAAUCUCUGAGCACCUUAGCAAACCUGAAAGAGUGCUACAUCAACAGGAUGGAGAGGGUCAGUAGAAGAAGUGUCCCAUUUAUUACAGCUUCUUGAUCAUGACUGAAUGGAUCACAUGCCUUAGGAUCCACUGGCAAAAGGUAAAUAGUUCCCAGAGGUAAUCUUUCAGCUGCUAAGAAUGGGAUACAAUACCUUACAAGAGUACAAAUGAGCUGUCAGAGAUGAUAAAAGCAGGUACAGCCUGGACUCGAUGCGCAGGAAAGGAUCAUAUUUCAGAAGUUCAAAAAGGGUUCAAAUUAAAAACAAGCAAACAAAAAAAACCCCAAAACCAAACAAACAAACAAACAAAAAAAUAAAAAAAAACAAAACAAAACCCA
RNAcentral lists this long non-coding RNA (1114 nucleotides) under Parus major (Great Tit). RNAcentral describes it as "lncRNA (ENSPMJG00000000971.1)". Lineage: Eukaryota; Metazoa; Chordata; Aves; Passeriformes; Paridae. The record is from RNAcentral.